CAGUAGCCGCGGUAAUACGAAGGGGGCUAGCGUUGUUCGGAAUUACUGGGCGUAAAGGGCGCGUAGGCGGCCAUUCAAGUUAGAUGUGAAAGCCCUGGGCUCAACCUAGGAAUUGCAUUUGAUACUGUUUGGCUUGAGUUCGGGAGAGGUGAGUGGAAUUCCCAGUGUAGAGGUGAAAUUCGUAGAUAUUGGGAAGAACACCAGUGGCGAAGGCGGCUCACUGGACCGACACUGACGCUGAGGUGCGAAAGCGUGGGGAGCAAACAGGAUUAGAUACCCCCGUAGUCCCUGUCUCUUAUAC
This 301-nucleotide ribosomal RNA is filed under the name uncultured bacterium. Its description in RNAcentral is "partial 16S ribosomal RNA". It matches the Rfam family "Bacterial small subunit ribosomal RNA", at positions 509 to 807 of the family's 1533-position model. The record is from RNAcentral.